UUAUUGUGGCUAGGCGUAUUAGUUUCCCAUUAUGGGAAUCCACUCUUGCGCCGGUGUAUUAGUCCUUUAGGCCUUUGAGCUGGUUGAUUGCUUUGCUUUUAUUCGUAUUUCUUCGGAGGUACUUACCGAGUUCUGAUAGCAGUAUGCAAUUAGACUUGAUUUUUGAUCUCAAAUCAGGCAAGACUACCCGCUGAAUUUAA
Molecule: unclassified non-coding RNA, 200 nt
Filed under: soil metagenome
Description: partial contains internal transcribed spacer 2 and large subunit ribosomal RNA
Source: RNAcentral